Molecule: non-coding RNA, 147 nt
Filed under: uncultured Veillonella sp.
Lineage: Bacteria; Bacillati; Bacillota; Negativicutes; Veillonellales; Veillonellaceae
Source: RNAcentral
UAGGUGUCCUAUGACUUAAUAGAGAAAUCGGUGUAAAGCCGGUGCGGUCCCGCCACUGUAUGGACGAGCGACUCUCAAUAUACCAUUGGAGCAAUCUGAGAAGGGGAGAGAAGCGAUGAAGCCGAGCCAGGAGAACUGCCUAUUUAA